UGGGGAAUAUUGCACAAUGGGCGCAAGCCUGAUGCAGCGACGCCGCGUGGGGGAUGACGGCCUUCGGGUUGUAAACCUCUUUCACCAUCGACGAAGGUCCGGGUUUUCUCGGAUUGACGGUAGGUGGAGAAGAAGCACCGGCCAACUACGUGCCAGCAGCCGCGGUAAUACGUAGGGUGCGAGCGUUGUCCGGAAUUACUGGGUGUAAAGAGCUCGUAGGUGGUUUGUCGCGUUGUUCGUGAAAUCUCACGGCUUAACUGUGAGCGUGCGGGCGAUACGGGCAGACUAGAGUACUGCAGGGGAGACUGGAAUUCCUGGUGUAGCGGUGGAAUGCGCAGAUAUCAGGAGGAACACCGGUGGCGAAGGCGGGUCUCUGGGCAGUAACUGACGCUGAGGAGCGAAAGCGUGGGGAGCGAACA
Molecule: ribosomal RNA, 419 nt
Filed under: uncultured bacterium
Lineage: Bacteria
Description: partial 16S ribosomal RNA
Rfam family: Bacterial small subunit ribosomal RNA
Source: RNAcentral